Molecule: ribosomal RNA, 465 nt
Filed under: Vreelandella stevensii
Lineage: Bacteria; Pseudomonadati; Pseudomonadota; Gammaproteobacteria; Oceanospirillales; Halomonadaceae
Description: partial 16S ribosomal RNA
Rfam family: Bacterial small subunit ribosomal RNA
Source: RNAcentral
CCUACGGGUCGCAGCAGUGGGGAAUAUUGGACAAUGGGCGAAAGCCUGAUCCAGCCAUGCCGCGUGUGUGAAGAAGGCCUUCGGGUUGUAAAGCACUUUCAGUGGGGAAGAAAGCCUUGGGGCUAAUACCCUCGAGGAAGGACAUCACCCACAGAAGAAGCACCGGCUAACUCCGUGCCAGCAGCCGCGGUAAUACGGAGGGUGCGAGCGUUAAUCGGAAUUACUGGGCGUAAAGCGCGCGUAGGCGGUCUGAUAAGCCGGUUGUGAAAGCCCCGGGCUCAACCUGGGAACGGCAUCCGGAACUGUCAGGCUAGAGUGCAUGAGAGGAAGGUAGAAUUCCCGGUGUAGCGGUGAAAUGCGUAGAGAUCGGGAGGAAUACCAGUGGCGAAGGCAGCCUUCUGGACUGACACUGACGCUGAGGUGCGAAAGCGUGGGUAGCAAACAGGAUUAGAUACCCGUGUAGUC